GAAAUGCGAUAAGUAGUGUGAAUUGCAGAAUUCAGUGAAUCAUCGAAUCUUUGAACGCACAUUGCGCCCCUUGGUAUUCCAUGGGGCAUGCCUGUUCGAGCGUCAUUUGUACCCUCAAGCUCUGCUUGGUGUUUGGUGUUUGUCCCGUCUCCGCGCGUGGACUCGCCCCAAAGUGAUUGGCAGCCGGCGUACUGGUCCCGGAGCGCAGCACAUGUCGCGCAAACGAGUGCCUUGGUACGGCGGCGUCCAUAAGCCCCUCUCUCACGCUCUUGACCUCGGAUCAGGUAGGGAUACCCGCUGAACUUAAGC
RNAcentral lists this unclassified non-coding RNA (309 nucleotides) under plant metagenome. Its description in RNAcentral is "partial contains 5.8S ribosomal RNA, internal transcribed spacer 2, and large subunit ribosomal RNA". The stretch from base 1 to 105 matches the Rfam family "5.8S ribosomal RNA", at positions 50 to 154 of the family's 154-position model. The record is from RNAcentral.